AUGGCCCUGGGAGACGACUCUCCGGCAUCCUACAUCCGCAUGGUGCACCAUCUGAUAGAGAAGUGCAUGACGUUCGGGAUGAGCAUGGAGGAGUGCAUGGAGGCGCUGUCCAAGCGCGCCGACGUUCAGCCGGUCGUCACCUCCACAGGUCGGCCGGUCUCAAAUCAAUUACUGCUCCCUCUGAUCAGCAGGAAUAUAUUUAUCUGUACUGACGCUGAGUUGGCGUGCUUGCAGUGUGGAAAGAGUUGGAGAAGGAGAACAAGGAGUUCUUCGACAGAUACAACAAGCAGUUGA
RNAcentral lists this ribosomal RNA (294 nucleotides) under Triticum aestivum (bread wheat). RNAcentral describes it as "partial small subunit ribosomal RNA". Lineage: Eukaryota; Viridiplantae; Streptophyta; Magnoliopsida; Poales; Poaceae. The record is from RNAcentral.